Molecule: ribosomal RNA, 272 nt
Filed under: uncultured bacterium
Lineage: Bacteria
Description: partial 16S ribosomal RNA
Rfam family: Bacterial small subunit ribosomal RNA
Source: RNAcentral
UACGGGGGGUGCAAGCGUUGUUCGGAAUCAUUGGGCGUAAAGCGCGCGCAGGCGGCUUGGUAAGUCAGAUGUGAAAUCCCUGGGCUUAACCCAGGAAGUGCAUUUGAUACUGCCUCGCUAGAGUACGGGAGAGGAAAGUGGAAUUCCUGGUGUAGAGGUGAAAUUCGUAGAUAUCAGGAGGAACACCGGUGGCGAAGGCGACUUUCUGGCCCGAUACUGACGCUCAGGCGCGAAAGCGUGGGGAGCAAACAGGAUUAGAAACCCGGUAGUCC